GAUGAACGCUGGCGGCGUGCCUAACACAUGCAAGUCGAACGGGAACCUAAUUUCGGUUGGGUGAGAGUGGCGAACGGGUGAGUAACACGUAGGUGACCUGCCCCUGGGUGGGGGAUAACUGUCGGAAACGACAGCUAAUACCCCGGAUGUCAAGAGGGUUAGAGGCUCUUGACUAAAGCUCAGGCGCCUGGGGAGGGACCUGCGGGCUAUCAGCUAGUUGGUGAGGUAACGGCUUACCAAGGCCCAGACGGCUAGGGGGCGUGAGAGCGUGGCCCCCC
This 278-nucleotide ribosomal RNA is filed under the name uncultured bacterium. RNAcentral describes it as "partial 16S ribosomal RNA". It matches the Rfam family "Bacterial small subunit ribosomal RNA", at positions 28 to 309 of the family's 1533-position model. The record is from RNAcentral.